RNAcentral lists this unclassified non-coding RNA (253 nucleotides) under uncultured Flavobacteriaceae bacterium. Its description in RNAcentral is "contains 16S-23S intergenic spacer region". It matches the Rfam family "Bacterial small subunit ribosomal RNA", at positions 524 to 776 of the family's 1533-position model. Lineage: Bacteria; Pseudomonadati; Bacteroidota; Flavobacteriia; Flavobacteriales; Flavobacteriaceae. The record is from RNAcentral.
UACGGAGGAUCCAAGCGUUGUCCGGAAUCAUUGGGUUUAAAGGGUCCGUAGGCGGGCAGUUAAGUCAGUGGUGAAAGUCCUCCGCUCAACGGGGGAACUGCCAUUGAUACUGAUUGCCUUGAGUUAUUAUGAAGUGGUUGGAAUGAGUAGUGUAGCGGUGAAAUGCAUAGAUAUUACUCAGAACACCGAUUGCGAAGGCAGAUCACUAAUAAUGGACUGACGCUGAUGGACGAAAGCGUAGGUAGCGAACAGG